This 497-nucleotide ribosomal RNA is filed under the name uncultured bacterium. RNAcentral describes it as "partial 16S ribosomal RNA". It matches the Rfam family "Bacterial small subunit ribosomal RNA", at positions 28 to 507 of the family's 1533-position model. The record is from RNAcentral.
GAUGAACGCUGGCGGCGUGCCUAAUACAUGCGAGUCGAGCGAACAGACGAGGAGCUUGCUCCUCUGACGUUAGCGGCGGACGGGUGAGUAACACGUGGAUAACCUACCUAUAAGACUGGGAUAACUUCGGGAAACCGGAGCUAAUACCGAAUAAUAUAUUGAACCGCAUGGUUCAAUAGUGAAAGACGGUUUUGCUGUCACUUAUAGAUGGAUCCGCGCCGCAUUAGCUAGUUGGUAAGGUAACGGCUUACCAAGGCAACGAUGCGUAGCCGACCUGAGAGGGUGAUCGGCCACACUGGAACUGAGACACGGUCCAGACUCCUACGGGAGGCAGCAGUAGGGAAUCUUCCGCAAUGGGCGAAAGCCUGACGGAGCAACGCCGCGUGAGUGAUGAAGGUCUUCGGAUCGUAAAACUCUGUUAUUAGGGAAGAACAAAUGUGUAAGUAACUAUGCACGUCUUGACGGUACCUAAUCAGAAAGCCACGGCUAACUACGUG